RNAcentral lists this ribosomal RNA (348 nucleotides) under Lepiota mandarina. RNAcentral's name for it is "partial small subunit ribosomal RNA". It matches the Rfam family "Bacterial small subunit ribosomal RNA", at positions 538 to 883 of the family's 1533-position model. Lineage: Eukaryota; Fungi; Basidiomycota; Agaricomycetes; Agaricales; Agaricaceae. The record is from RNAcentral.
ACGUUAGUCGUCUUAAUCAGGCGUAAAGGGUAAGUAGGCUGCUUUAACAGUUAUUAUUCCCAUAGCUCUUUAAUUAUAUUAAAGUAAGUAAUAAUGAAUUAAAGCUAGAAUCAAAUAGAAGAUAAGACAAAUAACGCUAAGAGUAAGGCUGAUAUCUUUAGAUACUUUGCGGAAUACUAAAGGUGAAAACUUUUAUCUACUAAUGAUUGACGCUGAGGAACGAAGGUGAGAAUAGAAAACAGGAUUAGAGACCCAGGUAUCUCUCACUGUCAACGAUGAAUGGUGGUUGUUAGUUUAAAUAAAACUAGUAACGAUGUUAACGCGAUAACCAUUCCGCCUUGCGAGUAC